This 432-nucleotide ribosomal RNA is filed under the name uncultured bacterium. Its description in RNAcentral is "partial 16S ribosomal RNA". It matches the Rfam family "Bacterial small subunit ribosomal RNA", at positions 28 to 506 of the family's 1533-position model. The record is from RNAcentral.
GACGAACGCUGGCGGCAUGCCUAACACAUGCAAGUCGAACGAGACCUUCGGGUCUAGUGGCGCACGGGCGCGUAACGCGUGGGAACCUGCCCUUAGGUUCGGAUUAACUCCCCGAAAGGGGUGCUAAUACCGGAUAAUGUCUUCGGACCAAAGAUUUAUCGCCUUUGGAUGGGCCCGCGUUGGAUUAGCUAGUUGGUAGGGUAAAAGCCUACCAAGGCGACGAUCCAUAGCUGGUCUGAGAGGAUGAUCAGCCACACUGGGACUGAGACACGGCCCAGACUCCUACGGGAGGCAGCAGGGGGGAAUAUUGGACAAUGGGCGAAAGCCUGAUCCAGCAAUGCCGCGUGAGUGAUGAAGGCCUUAGGGUUGUAAAGCUCUUUUACCCGGGAUGAUAAUGACAGUACCGGGAGAAUAAGCUCCGGCUAACUCCGU